GUGGGGAAUCUUGCGCAAUGGGCGAAAGCCUGACGCAGCCAUGCCACGUGAAUGAUGAAGGUCUUAGGAUUGUAAAAUUCUUUCACCGGGGACGAUAAUGACGGUACCCGGAGAAGAAGCUCCGGCUAACUUCGUGCCAGCAGCCGCGGUAAUACGAAGGGGGCUAGCGUUGCUCGGAAUUACUGGGCGUAAAGGGCGCGUAGGCGGACAGCUUAGUCAGAGGUGAAAGCCCAGGGCUCAACCUUGGAAUUGCCUUUGAUACUGGCUGUCUUGAGUUUGGGAGAGGUGAGUGGAACUCCGAGUGUAGAGGUGAAAUUCGUAGAUAUUCGGAAGAACACCAGUGGCGAAGGCGACUCACUGGCCCAAUACUGACGCUGAGGCGCGAAAGCGUGGGGAGCAAACAGGAUUAGAAACCCUUGUAGUCC
RNAcentral lists this ribosomal RNA (425 nucleotides) under uncultured bacterium. Its description in RNAcentral is "partial 16S ribosomal RNA". It matches the Rfam family "Bacterial small subunit ribosomal RNA", at positions 354 to 796 of the family's 1533-position model. The record is from RNAcentral.